This is a long non-coding RNA of Impatiens glandulifera, 514 nucleotides long. RefSeq lists it as uncharacterized. NCBI's taxonomy places the organism in Eukaryota, Viridiplantae, Streptophyta, Magnoliopsida, Ericales, Balsaminaceae. The transcript has 2 exons. The record is from RefSeq and is a predicted model, not a curated record.
AACGGAAUAUAAACAGUUCAAAGAAUGGUGCAAGGCAAAUUCAAAAGGAAAAGGGAAGGUAGCAGCAGGAACUUCAGAGUAUAGUGCAGGACCGUAAAUUGGUCAACAAAUUUCAGCUUGGGAAGAAAAUUGGAAAUUUGUUUUUCUCUUCUCUUCGUUAUUGUUCUAAAGACAUUUCUCAUAGUAGUUCUACUGAAUUUUCAUCUCCUGUUAUUGAUUGUAUUAGAAUGCAUAAUAGACUUGGUCAUCCAUCUCCUAAAGUCAUGAAUAAUGUCUACCCUGGUUUGGGAAAUAAGAUACACCAUUGUGAAGUUUGUUCCAUUUCAAAAAUGUCAAGAUUGUCUUUUCCUGAUAGUUGUUCUGUUUCAAAAAAAUGUUUUGAACUUAUUCAUGUUGACCUUUGGGGACCUUAUAAGGAACCUUCAAUAAUUCAAGUUUCUUAUAUGUUAACCAUAGUAGAUGAUUAUAGUAGAUGCACUUGGAUUUUUCUUCUCAAAGAUAAAACAUGUGUAUU